RNAcentral lists this ribosomal RNA (362 nucleotides) under Cutervolus albopunctatus. Its description in RNAcentral is "partial small subunit ribosomal RNA". Lineage: Eukaryota; Metazoa; Arthropoda; Arachnida; Opiliones; Cranaidae. The record is from RNAcentral.
GUAUGUGUUAGGGAUUUGGAUUAGUAUGCUAAGAAAUUUAAAAUUUUUGGCGGUUGGUUUUAUAUUAGAGGAGCUUGUUUUAGAAGUAACUCUUUAGAUCUUAUUGGUUUUUGUUUAUUUAUUGCCGUUAUUAGAAUUUUGUUUAUAAAAAAUUUAGGUUUUAGAUUUCAGGUCAAGAUGUAGCAUUUACUUGCUUUUGAUUAGCUACAAUUAUGAAGUAAGGUUGGUUAUUUAUUUUGUUAGUUUUAUUAUAAAUUGAAUUUAAUUGUAAUAUUUUUUAGAAAGAGAGUAUGAAUUUCUUGAGAUUAAUGUACAGAUUGCCCGUCACUUCUGUUGCUGAAGAUGGAAUAAGUCGUAACAAA